ACUCCAGACAAUAAUAGCUGAAGCCAACAGAAGCCCAGCUGACUUUGAGACAUAUAGUAUCAUCCGACAGGUGAAUGAGAAAAUGUUUCCAGCUUUAGGAGUGAGAUAUGAGUACAUUUCCGAAUUUAGCGACUACAUCUACAAUGUUAUGUUAUCUGUAUUAAUAAUCGAAGUACCUUUUCUCACAUAUGUUUGGGAAACCUGUUGCAUUCUUGAUAGGAUUGAGUCUAUUUCACAUUAGGGCAACUCAUUUUGUUGUUGUUGAAGCAGCAGUAGCCUGAAGUGCGAGAAGCUCAGAUGGAAUUGUUUCAGAAAAAGAAAGAGGGAGAGAAAGAAGGGAAAAGAACAGCGCCAACAUCAGAAGAGGCCUUACCAUCCAUCAAAGCAUCUUCCAGCUUUUCAUCUCGCCCAGACUAUCUAUACCUGUAAUUAGGUUUGGGUGAGGGAGAAGAUGGAUUUGGUUUGCAGCACCAUGCAGAGAAAAACAAGACGUCAGGAAGUCCUUACCGCUGUUCUGGGACCAGCCCUUAAUGGUGUCUAAUUGACCUGGUCUGUCAUGUGGCCAUGGCUUCAUACGGUCGGGGGGCGAUUAUCUACAUGUGUCAUCCUGAAAGGAUUAGCAUUAGUAGUCUGUGUGUGUGUGUGUGUGUGUGUGUGUGUGUGUGUGUGUGUGUGUGUGUGUGUGUGUGUGUGUGUGUGUGUGUGUGUGUGUGUGUGUGUGUGUGUGUGUGUGUGUGUGUGUGUGUGUGUGUGUGUGUGUGUGUGUGUGUGUGUGUGUGUGUGUGUGUACGGUUGUGGGUGAGGGGUGGCUGCAUGGGGUUGCUAUAAUUGCCUUCCAGAUGAGAUGUGAGUGAAUCAGGAAAACAUUAAUGAAUUAAGAUAGUAGCCUUCAACCUAAAGCUAACCCAGUGAUCCGGCUUCCAGAUUUCCAGCAUUGUAAUUUGUACAACAUAGAAAUAGGUGGACAAAUAGAAGAGGGCAAUCACAUUCUUUGCCUACUCAAAUGCAUGCAUGGGCUUAACAACACAUUAUCUGAAAGAGGAGGGUUAAAAUCUAUUAUCCAAGUGCUCUAUAAAAGAGAGGAGUGAAUCCAGCAUCUCUUUUAUUUACUUCCUGUCUCUGGUGCAGCUGUACUGCAGACACGCACAUCGCUUCAGUGACCUUCACGAUGAUAUGAAAACGAAGGAUGAUGCCUCCAGUGUGUUUCUGGUGUGUCUCAUCUCCCAAGAUGGACAGCCGUGCAUUAUUGAUCACAAAAAACUUCAACAGUGCUAUGUACUGUGUCGCCUAUGGAAGCACGUUUGAGAGAACACAUUACAGCAAUUCAGGUUUUUCUGCUAUAAAACGUGUGAUGA
This is a long non-coding RNA of Oncorhynchus masou masou (cherry salmon), 1355 nucleotides long. RefSeq lists it as uncharacterized. NCBI's taxonomy places the organism in Eukaryota, Metazoa, Chordata, Actinopteri, Salmoniformes, Salmonidae. The transcript is spliced from 2 exons. The record is from RefSeq and is a predicted model, not a curated record.